Oryza sativa Japonica Group (Japanese rice) is the source of this 555-nucleotide long non-coding RNA. RefSeq lists it as uncharacterized. Lineage: Eukaryota; Viridiplantae; Streptophyta; Magnoliopsida; Poales; Poaceae. The record is from RefSeq and is a predicted model, not a curated record.
GCGGCAGUGAUGGACGAAGACAACGGCCGGCUGCAACAAGCUUGAAGACGGCGAGGAAAUCGGCAACGGGCGGACGCUGGCACUGAUGGCGUGACCAGGGAGCAGCCGGACCGCGCAGCGAGCAGAUCCGCAGCGUGCGACUACGACGAGCCGAGGGUGAGUGGCGGUGGACAACGACGAGCAGCCGAGGUGUUGGAUGGGCUCGCUGGUGGCGAGGAGGCGGAGCUGCCAGCGCGCCAGUGUGGACUCGGAAUUGAUGGGCUAGGGCACCGCCGUGUUGACCGGCGGAAGCACGGAAGAAAAAAAAAAAGGAGAAGAGAGAAAAAAAGAAGGAAGAAGGAAGAAAAAAAUAUAAAAAUUCCAUGUCAUCGUUCACGGGGCGUGCCACGUAGGCAAAAUCACGGUCAAACGCAGCUUUAGACCGAGAUGAUACAAUAAACCAAGUUUAGAGAUCUCGAUGUACGCUUUGCAAGUUCAUGGACCUAAGUGAAACCUCCUGACAAGUUUAAGGACCGCUGGUGCAUUUUACUCUUAUUUUUAUCUAUAUUUAAUGCU